UUCAGUACGUGUGCUGUUCCGAACUACCAGGCCAACAUAUUAAAGAACGGUAGUAGUACAUGUUCUGUAUGUCAACAGCAAAAUGAAACUAUUGAUCAUGUUGUCUCCAUGUGCAGUCUUCUUGCACCUACAGAGUAUCUCAACAGGCAUGAUAGAGCUGCACAAUAUAUUCACUGGGUAAUUUGCAAAAACCUGGAACUGCCGCAUGAUAAAAAAAAAACUGGUGGGAACACUAAAACUACCUCCAGCGCUUGAAAAUGCUCACAUCUCUCUCCUCUUGAACUUCACCAUUCAAACUGACAGAAAGAUGGAUGCAAAUUGGCCAGACAUUAUAUUGAAAGGCUUCAGAUAA
Molecule: long non-coding RNA, 352 nt
Organism: Octopus sinensis (East Asian common octopus)
Lineage: Eukaryota; Metazoa; Mollusca; Cephalopoda; Octopoda; Octopodidae
Exons: 3
Source: RefSeq, a predicted model, not a curated record